CUCUUAGCCUCAGAGUGGAAGCUGAGAAAGUUGGUUGAAGGAGGUACAAUAUGGAGUGGCCCAGAAUUUUAAGACAAAGACCAAGUCCUGGUCACCAAAACAUCAAAGUCAGGCAGAUCUGGGUCCAUUUCUGUGCACCGUGUUCCUGUGAGAGCAAGAAGGAUCAGUACAGGAGAAAGUGCUUCAUAAAUUGCCAAUUGUCUUCAAAUACAAAGAGAUGGGCAGACAUCCCAAGCCUGCCCAGGCAGCGUCUUCUACCCCUCUGAAGCAGGGACUGGCCCAGGGAGGCACAAGACUCAGGCCACACCAGCGAGAGUCAGCCCAAGAACAACUGGGAAAGGGGUUCUUUUCUUCCCUGGAGUUGCUGAACUGGUAAAGUGUGGGCCGCCAGCUGCAGGAGGCCAUUUUACCAAUACUUAGAGAAAUGCACCCAAGGAGGAAGCUUGGUGAGAGCAAAGCAAAGCCAAGAGAUGGAAAGAAACUUGCCUCAGGGCCUUUGAACAGACUCUUCUGUCUGCUCACUCACCUGUACCUGAAUCUCCACCUCUGAUGCAUGUUUACUUGGGCCAAUGAAAUCCUCUUUUGUUUAAGCCAAGGUUACGUAUAUCCCCUUGACAGCAUUCAGCACUGCGUCUUCACGUAUCACCGGCCUAUCUGGGCUCCCAGCACCUCAGGCGUUCCUUGAGCCCAGGAUCACCUAUGAGUCAUCUUUAGACAUUCCGCACCGAAAACAAAGUCAGACGCAGAAAUAAAUAUUCGUGGAGUCAGGAGCUGAAUGAAUGAAAUCAGCUCAUCCCGUUCUCCUGGACGUGGAGGAGUCGCGUGGCCAUCUCGUGUAGGGAAGGACCCAUUGGUCGGCUCUUUUUGGUGCCCAUGCUCAACAGCCUUUCGGAGACAAUGGGGGGAAGGAGCACAAGGACCUUCUGCGAGGCCAGCCUUCAAGACUCUGGCUUCUUUCUGUCUCUAGGACAUUGAGGACAGUCAGUGGGACAAUGACGGAGCCCCUCUGUCUGGAAGCCACUUUCAUUUUCCCCACAGAGCCCCGAGGCCCUGAUUCUCAGGUUUAAUGAUUUUUUCCCUCUGAUGAGUAAAGUUGGAAAUAAUGAAUUGUGAUUGUUGCCCAUUGUUCUCACUAUGAAUACUUUUUCUCUAGAAGGAAAAAAAAUCACAUUUUUUCAACAAAGGAAACAUACAGAGCUGAUGAAGGUUCCGGGAGGUUUUCAGUGAAAUCUUGUGCCAACCUACUGUUUAUGUCUCCGAGGGAGGAAGCGGGAGCUAGCCGUGCUCCCUCCCCUCCGUGAAGCGGACUGGGUGGGACGGGGCUUCUCUGGGUCCCUGCCCCUCAAGCCACUUGGAAACAGAUGCCCAAAAGUCGGCAAGAUCCUCAGGGACUUUCUUUCCUUACAGCAGAGGCCCUCGUGGGUGUAGGUUCCUGGGGCUUUAGAAACCAAAGAACUCCCCUAAACAGAGGCCUGGAAUCUGUGGGUGACAACUGGGUGCUAUUUGGAGAGUGAAUAAAGG
Molecule: long non-coding RNA, 1521 nt
Filed under: Equus caballus (horse)
Lineage: Eukaryota; Metazoa; Chordata; Mammalia; Perissodactyla; Equidae
Description: lncRNA (ENSECAG00000050038.1)
Source: RNAcentral